GCUCAUGAUGAACGCUAGCGACAGGCUUAACACAUGCAAGUCGAGGGGCAGCACAGGUAGCAAUACCGGGUGGCGACCGGCGCACGGGUGAGUAACGCGUAUGCAACUUACCUAUCAGAGGGGGAUAACCCGGCGAAAGUCGGACUAAUACCGCAUGAAGCAGGGGCCCCGCAUGGGGAUAUUUGCUAAAGAUUCAUCGCUGAUAGAUAGGCAUGCGUUCCAUUAGGCAGUUGGCGGGGUAACGGCCCACCAAACCGACGAUGGAUAGGGGUUCUGAGAGGAAGGUCCCCCACAUUGGUACUGAGACACGGACCAAACUCCUACGGGAGGCAGCAGUGAGGAAUAUUGGUCAAUGGCCGAGAGGCUGAACCAGCCAAGUCGCGUGAGGGAUGAAGGUUCUAUGGAUCGUAAACCUCUUUUAUAAGGGAAUAAAGUGCGGGACGUGUCCCGUUUUGUAUGUACCUUAUGAAUAAGGAUCGGCUAACUCCGUGCCAGCAGCCGCGGUAAUACGGAGGAUCCGAGCGCUAUCCGGAUUUAUUGGGUUUAAAGGGUGCGUAGGCGGCCUUUUAAGUCAGCGGUGAAAGUCUGUGGCUCAACCAUAGAAUUGCCGUUGAAACUGGGAGGCUUGAGUAUGUUUGAGGCAGGCGGAAUGCGUGGUGUAGCGGUGAAAUGCAUAGAUAUCACGCAGAACCCCGAUUGCGAAGGCAGCCUGCCAAGCCAUUACUGACGCUGAUGCACGAAAGCGUGGGGAUCAAACAGGAUUAGAUACCCUGGUAGUCCACGCAGUAAACGAUGAUCACUAGCUGUUUGCGAUACACUGUAAGCGGCACAGCGAAAGCGUUAAGUGAUCCACCUGGGGGAGUACGCCGGCAACGGUGAAACUCAAAGGAAUUGACGGGGGCCCGCACAAGCGGAGGAACAUGUGGUUUAAUUCGAUGAUACGCGAGGAACCUUACCCGGGUUUGAACGCAUUCGGACCGAGGUGGAAACACCUUUUCUAGCAAUAGCCGUUUGCGAGGUGCUGCAUGGUUGUCGUCAGCUCGUGCCGUGAGGUGUCGGCUUAAGUGCCAUAACGAGCGCAACCCUUGCCACUAGUUACUAACAGGUAAAGCUGAGGACUCUGGUGGGACUGCCAGCGUAAGCUGCGAGGAAGGCGGGGAUGACGUCAAAUCAGCACGGCCCUUACAUCCGGGGCGACACACGUGUUACAAUGGCGUGGACAAAGGGAAGCCACCUGGCGACAGGGAGCGAAUCCCCAAACCACGUCUCAGUUCGGAUCGGAGUCUGCAACCCGACUCCGUGAAGCUGGAUUCGCUAGUAAUCGCGCAUCAGCCAUGGCGCGGUGAAUACGUUCCCGGGCCUUGUACACACCGCCCGUCAAGCCAUGGGAGCCGGGGGUACCUGAAGUCCGUAACCGCGAGGAUCGGCCUAGGGUAAAACUGGU
Molecule: ribosomal RNA, 1444 nt
Filed under: uncultured organism
Description: SSU rRNA
Rfam family: Bacterial small subunit ribosomal RNA
Source: RNAcentral